UACGUAGGGUGCAAGCGUUGUCCGGAAUUAUUGGGCGUAAAGAGCUCGUAGGCGGUCUGUCGCGUCGGCUGUGAAAUCCCGGAGCUCAACUCCGGGCCUGCAGUCGAUACGGGCAGACUGGAGUUCGGCAGGGGAGACUGGAAUUCCUGGUGUAGCGGUGAAAUGCGCAGAUAUCUGGAGGAACACCGGUGGCGAAGGCGGGUCUCUGGGCCGAUACUGACGCUGAGGAGCGAAAGCGUGGGGAGCGAACAGG
Molecule: ribosomal RNA, 253 nt
Filed under: uncultured bacterium
Lineage: Bacteria
Description: partial 16S ribosomal RNA
Rfam family: Bacterial small subunit ribosomal RNA
Source: RNAcentral